AGUGAACGCUGGCGGCAGGCCUAACACAUGCAAGUCGAGCGGCAGCGCGUCCGACCACCCUCGGAUGGUCGGAUGGCGGCGAGCGGCGGACGGGUGAGGAAUGCAUCGGAAUCUGCCUCGUUGUGGGGGAUAACGUAGGGAAACUUACGCUAAUACCGCAUACGACCUACGGGUGAAAGUGGGGGACCUUCGGGCCUCACGCGAUGAGAUGAGCCGAUGCCGGAUUAGCUAGUUGGCGGGGUAAAGGCCCACCAAGGCGACGAUCCGUAGCUGGUCUGAGAGGAUGAUCAGCCACACUGGAACUGAGACACGGUCCAGACUCCUACGGGAGGCAGCAGUGGGGAAUAUUGGACAAUGGGGGCAACCCUGAUCCAGCCAUGCCGCGUGUGUGAAGAAGGC
Molecule: ribosomal RNA, 399 nt
Filed under: uncultured bacterium
Lineage: Bacteria
Description: bacterial SSU rRNA
Rfam family: Bacterial small subunit ribosomal RNA
Source: RNAcentral